Molecule: long non-coding RNA, 2507 nt
Organism: Bos taurus (domestic cattle)
Lineage: Eukaryota; Metazoa; Chordata; Mammalia; Artiodactyla; Bovidae
Source: Ensembl
GGGGAGAGGAAAGUUCAGGGAGGUGUUCAUCUUUUCCUUCUCCUCCCUCUCUCCUCCCCACCCCCAGCCCCAUACCAGCCCCCUCAGCCCCAACCCCAGGUCUGUUUUCUCUGCAAGCUGUCUCCCACCUCGCCUUUGCUCCCAGAGCACAAACAGGCGCACGUACCCUGGACGUGCUCUUCUCCGCUGUCACACGAGUGCCCUUCUAGAAGACAUGUGACCCGGGAGCAGACUGGCCACGCGCUCUUUUCCGGACUCUGGAGCCAUAUAACUUGCCUGUAGUUUGCCCGUUCACAUGAUGCGAGGAAGGGGCAGCGGUUUGCACCGAGUUUCCAGGGACCUUCGGAAUCUGUAGGUCUCCUGGCAGGGAGCUCUCUUGAUCACCCAAGCUGGACUGCCUUCUUUGAGGAUACCUAAAUAAAAAGGAGAAGGUGGCAAUGGAUGUUGGGGAGCCAAUCUAGAGUCGGCUACAGGAGCUCAGGGAUGAUGUCUCAGGAAAAAAAAAAGGAGACAUUUAAAACUGAAGAUGAGUAAGCGUCAGCCAGGAGUGAGGAGGACACAACUUCAGGCAGACCGAAAUCCUGUGUGCAGUCUGACUGUGCCACGUGUUACAGACAUAGCAAGACUGUAAACCAGGAAGAGAGUCCUCAUUAAGAACUGAAUCAGCCAGCACCUUGAUCUUGACUUCCAGCCUCCAGAAAUGUAAGAGAUACAUUUCUACUGUUUAAACCACCCAGUCUAUGGCAUUUUGUUAUGGCAGCCUGAGUUGACUAAUAUAGACUCUAUCAUGGGUGAAGAAAAUCAACAUUUUUAAAUUAGGAUAAGGGAAGAAUACUUCGUAAAAUAGUAGGUGAAUGUGCUUUUCAGUGUCUUCUUGCUCUUAUUGUUUACUUGUUUGUUUUUCAGAAGUAGAGCUCUCUGUAUGGUCCAAGAGUAGAUUAUUCAAUAAAAAGCAAGAAGCUAGUUUGUAAUUGAGGAGAAGGCAAUGGCAACCCACUCCAGUACUCUUGCCUGGAAACUCCCAUGGACGGAGGAGCCCAGUAGGCUGCAGUCCGUGGGGUCGCUAAGAGUUGGACACGACUGAGCGACUUCACUUUCACUUUUCACUUUCAUGCAUUGGAGAAGGAAAUGGCAACCCACUCCAGUGUUCUUGCCUGGAGAAUUCCAGGGACGGGGGAUCCUGGUGGGCUGCCGUCUAUGGGGUCGAACAGAGUCGGACACGACUGAAGCGACUUAGCAGCAGCAGCAGCAGUGUGUAAUUGACAUAUAACUCUUUACAAGAUCUCCUAUGUUCUUGGGAAGUCCAACCUGUGCUUCUGACCCCUAGAAUAGCAGCUAGGCUUAUGUCUCUUAUUUACAUUACCCACUAACCCCUGGCCUUGUUUCCUUGAUCUAGCUCAAAUUGCUCUUUGCAAUUCCCAUGCAGGACCUGUUGAAGCUGCUGAGGGUACUAUACAUUUACAAAUCUCAUGGGAUUGCUGAAGAUAGGGAAAGUAAGUCCAUGUGAACACUGCGGUUGUUUGAACCCUGAUGUCAGAUUCAUUUUUAUCCUCCCAGCUGGGAAUACAAUAAAAAUGUUCUAGACAAAAGAUAAUGUUUGUUUCUUCUCAUAAGAGUCACAGCAGACAAAAUAGCUGGGUCUGGGUGAGAACUGAAAGAGUCAUAGCAGAAUCACAAAGAUAGAAAUAGAUUAACAAACGUUAAGAUUUCUGGAGCACACACUAUACAAUGGGCACUCUGCGGGCAUCAAGCAGUAGAAGCUGACCCUGAAUAUGGUGUAAGAUGACAUCAUGAAGCAGCACAGCACAAAAUCAAUCAACUUGUAUUUAUUCAACCCGAGCUAUGCUCAUGGCGUCAUACUUGAUGCUAUGGCAUACACUCAAUCUCUGUACAUGCAAGUAUACACACAUACAUACUGGUGAUAAAAAAUAACAGCAAAUUGAAUGGAAAGCUGUUAAACUUACAUGGAGACAAUAAUUUUUUCCUCACAGCCAUUUGGGGAUGGGGUUGUUGUUGUUCAGCCUCUAAGCUGUCUGACUCUUUGGGACCCCAUAGACUGCAGCAUGCCAGGUUCCCCUAUCCUUCACUAUCUCCCACUUUGCUCAAGUUCAUGUCCCUUGAGUCAGGGAUGGUAUCUAACCAUCUCAUUCUCUGCCGCCUUCUUCUUCUCCUGUCUUCAAUCUUGCUCAGCAUCAGGGUUUUUUCCAAUGAUGGUUCUUUCCAACUCUUUGCACCAGGUGGCCAAAAGUAUUGGAGCUUCAGCACCAGUCCUUCCAAUGAAUCUUCAAGGUGGAUUUCCUUUAGCAUUGACUUGCUUGAUUUCCUUGCUGUCCAAUGCACUCUCAAGAGUCUUCUCCAACACCACAACUGGGGGAUGGGGAGUGAGGAUUAAAUGGAAAGCAAAGUACUUCAGAGCUCCAGACAAACUUGGGCUUGACUCCCUGCUCUGCUGCUUAUGAGAUAACCUUAGGUGAAAGAAUCCAAAAAUCUUGCGAGCAAAAUAAAAC